GAGGGCCGCAGGCUAUCCAGCGUGGCGCCUGGUGGCCGGGCCCUGUGCCGGAGGACAAGGUGAACCCGGAGCCGGACUUCCGCUGCACUGGGGCUCCGAAUGACCCAGAAUCUGGGGUGGGCUUAGGCCCCGGGAGUGAGAUGGCCUCAAUCUUGCGAAGCCCUCAGGCUCUCCAGCUCACUCUAGCCCUGAUCAAGCCUGAUGCAGUCGCCCAUCCGCUGAUUCUAGAGGUAAGAAUGAAUCCUAAGCCUCUACCGCAUGCCCUGGGAAUUGCCACUGCUUCAGGUGCCAUUGGGCCAUUUAUGGUGACUGACAACACAGACUUGUGCUGGAUGCUGUGGAGGCAAAGCUAGAAGCCAUGAACUCUGACCUAAGGAGACUAAGAAUCUAUUGGAGACUUG
Molecule: small RNA, 401 nt
Filed under: Pongo abelii (Sumatran orangutan)
Lineage: Eukaryota; Metazoa; Chordata; Mammalia; Primates; Hominidae
Description: retained intron
Source: RNAcentral